RNAcentral lists this ribosomal RNA (273 nucleotides) under uncultured prokaryote. Its description in RNAcentral is "partial 16S ribosomal RNA". It matches the Rfam family "Bacterial small subunit ribosomal RNA", at positions 524 to 794 of the family's 1533-position model. The record is from RNAcentral.
UACAGAGGGUGCGAGCGUUGUUCGGAAUCACUGGGCGUAAAGCGCGCGCAGGCGGGACUUGCAAGUCGGGAGUGAAAAGGCCGGGGCUCAACCCCGGAGCUGCUUUCGAGACUGCUGACCUGGAGACCAGUAGGGGUUGGUGGAAUUCCCGGUGUAGCGGUGGAAUGCGUAGAGAUCGGGAAGAACACCGGUGGCGAAGGCGGCCAACUGGGCUGGAUCUGACGCUGAGGCGCGAAAGCGUGGGGAGCAAACAGGAUUAGAUACCCCGGUAGU